This 429-nucleotide ribosomal RNA is filed under the name Gemmatimonadota bacterium. RNAcentral's name for it is "Gemmatimonadetes bacterium partial 16S ribosomal RNA". It matches the Rfam family "Bacterial small subunit ribosomal RNA", at positions 355 to 776 of the family's 1533-position model. Lineage: Bacteria; Pseudomonadati; Gemmatimonadota. The record is from RNAcentral.
UAGGGAAUCUUCUGCAAUGGACGAAAGUCUGACCGAGCAACGCCGCGUGAGUGAAGAAGGUUUUCGGAUCGUAAAACUCUUUUGUUAGAGAAGAACAAGGACGUUAGUAACUGAACGUCCCCUGACGGUAUCUAACCAGAAAGCCCCGGCUAACUACGUGCCAGCAGCCGCGGUAAUACGUAGGUGGCAAGCGUUGUCCGGAUUUAUUGGGCGUAAAGCGAGCGCAGGCGGUUUCUUAAGUCUGAUGUGAAAGCCCCCGGCUCAACCGGGGAGGGUCAUUGGAAACUGGGAGACUUGAGUGCAGAAGAGGAGAGUGGAAUUCCAUGUGUAGCGGUGAGAUGCGUAGAUAUAUGGAGGAACACCAGUGGCGGAGGCGGCUCUCUGGUCUGUAACUGACGCUGAGGCUCGAAAGCGUGGGGAGCAAACAGG